UACGUAGGGGGCAAGCGUUGUCCGGAAUCAUUGGGCGUAAAGCGCGCGUAGGCGGCCCUGUAAGUCCGUUGUGAAAGUCAAAGGCUCAACCUUUGAAAGCCGAUGGAUACUGCAGGGCUAGAGUCCGGAAGAGGCGAGUGGAAUUCCUGGUGUAGCGGUGGAGUGCGCAGAUAUCAGGAGGAACACCAAUAGCGAAGGCAGCUCGCUGGGACGGUACUGACGCUAAGGCGCGAAAGCGUGGGGAGCGAACAGG
This 253-nucleotide ribosomal RNA is filed under the name uncultured bacterium. Its description in RNAcentral is "partial 16S ribosomal RNA". It matches the Rfam family "Bacterial small subunit ribosomal RNA", at positions 524 to 776 of the family's 1533-position model. The record is from RNAcentral.